UCCCAGAACUCUUAUGCAUGCAUGUAAUGAUCGUUCUGAUGAUGAAGAUAUGAAAUUCUCUUAUUUUUCUUUUAUGAAGAUAUGAUGAAUACAUGUUUACUGUCUAAGUGCAGCAACAGCAAGCAAAUAUGUUUCUCCUUCUUCUUCUUUUCCUCUCUCUGGGAGGAACCUGCACAUGAAGUAGAAGGGCCAUUUGAAAGCAGGCUGCAGACAUCUCAUCCAUUACCAGAAGGCCUGGGAGCACAAGUGAUAGCUCUCUUCACGAGUACUUUUCGCGAACCAAAGAAGAUAGAUAAUAAAAUUCCACCAAAAGUACAAGCAACAACACCUGCUAAAUGGGCUCAGAGUGCUCCAACUCAAGAACGUACAAAUAUAUCUGGCGAUGUACUAAGAAAAGAUCAGAAGGAUGUUACACAUACUCCAGAAAACAAUGCCACAGCAACACCAACUAUCAUAAACACCAACCUAGUUCCGUACGUGACACUACAUCUUGCUGCUCUGAAUGGUGACUGGAUGACUGCUAGAAAUUUCUUGCAAUUACAGCCAGAAGCUGUGAGGGCUAAGAUCACAAAGGGUUCAGAAACUGCUCUUCACAUUGCAGCUGGGGCAAAACGUACACUUUUUGUUGAGGAGCUAGUAAAAUGGAUGACACCAAAUGACCUUGAAUUGAAGAAUGAUGUAGGAAACACCGCCCUUUAUUUUGCUGCUGUAUCUGGUAUCAAAAGGAUUGCUGAGGUAAUGGUGGAUAUUAACCCAAGAUUACCUCAGAUCCGAGGUACUAAAGAUCUAACACCUCUUCAUAUGGCUACAUUGCUAGGCCACAAAGAAAUUGUAUGGUAUCUAUACGACAAGACAAUUUUGACAGAACAAGAUUACAUAGGGCUUCUUAUUUCUGCCAUAACGGCAGAUCUUUAUGAUGUAGCACUGGAUAUAAUUCAAAAGCACCCUGAAAUGGCUUUUGCUCGAGAUAGAAAUGGAGAGACAGCACUACAUGUAUUGGCUCGAAAGCCUUCAGCAUGUUAUAGUGGAAGUCAGCUGGGAUCUUUGAAACGAUGGAUAACUUCGUAUGUGGCUAUGGAUAUAGUUGAACAACACCCUGAAAUGAUUUCUGUUCAAGAUGAAAUUGUGGAGACUACACUCCAAAUAGUGGAGCCUUCGGCAUGUUAUAGUGGAAAUCAGCUGGGACUUUGGAAACGAUUGAUAUUAUCUGUCCCCAAUAUCCAGGUCUCAUACGACAAAAAGUUGAAUCAUAUGCAAGCAACUGAACUUGUGAAGCUGCUUUGGAAAAAAGUUUUGACACUAGGGAGUGAUUUGGGGAUAAAUGAUUUGAUCAAUGUACCCUCUCGCUUAUUGUUUACUGCUGCUGAAUUGGGGAAUAUAGAGUUUCUCAUUAUACUUAUUAGAUCGUACCCCAGUCUCAUUUGGCAAGUUGAUGAACAAAACCGAAGCAUAUUUCAUGCUGCAUUGAUUCAUCGACAGGAAAAAGUUUUCAAUCUCAUUUAUGAAUUAGGCGGUCUGAAAGACUUAAUUGCCUCUUAUAAAGAUGUAAACAACAAUAACAUGCUUCAUUUGGCUGCACGAGCAUCUCCAAAUCGACUAAGUUUUGAUACAGGGGCAGCAUUGAAACUGCGAAGAGAGUUGACUUGGUUUAAGGAGGUGGAGAAGAUUGUCCAGCCAUUAUACAAAGAAAUGAGGAACUCAGAUGGAGAAACACCUCAACUUCUUUUCACCAAGGAACACAAGGAACUACUACGACAAGGAGAAGAGUGGAUGAAGGGCACUGCAUCAUCAUGCAUGGUUGUGGCAACUCUUAUUGCCACUGUAAUGUUUUCUGUCUUCUCCACUGUCCCCGGUGGCAACAACAAUAACACAGGCAUUCCCAUAUUCCUUAAAUCAAGGGCCUUCAAGGUUUUUGUCAUAUCAGAUUCAAUAUCCCUCAUCUCUUCGACCACUUCAAUCUUGAGUUUUCUGUCCAUUCUUACAUCACGCUACACUGAAGGAGAUUUUCUCAAUUCAUUACCGUAUAGAUUGAUCGUGGGGCUUGCUACCUUAUUUAUCUCUAUGGCUACAAUGAUGAUGACAUUUGUUGCCACACUUCUUAUGGUUCUUGGCCCUGGAUUUCAUGAGAUAAAAUUUCCAGUUGCUUUGGUUGCUGCAGUUCCAGUUGGUUUCUACGCGUUACUACAGUUUCCUCUUCUAUCUGAUAUGAUCUGUCAUGCUUAUAUCUCAAGAGUUUCUUUUCGUCCAUGCAACCACCUCUUGCACUAGAUAUACACCGAAAGUACUUUUUUACUCGAUGUGUUUGUGUAAAAUAUAAUUGUCACGACUAAAGAUAAAUAUAUCAUGGUGACUUUGAUUUGAAUUUGCCAAAUGUGGCUUUGGCAACAGUAAGAUUGCUUACAGGGUUAGAACCAUGGUGUGUGCAGGUGCAAACAGAACAUCUCCUUGGAUGAUUGCAUGAUCUCCAUUACUCGUACAUAUGGUUCCCUUCCCAAAAGUGACCACAAAAAUGGAAGGACCAGGUACUGCAGGAAACUCUGUUGAUUCUCCGUGGGGAAGAUGGAUCCGAUCAACCUCAAAUUCUUCAAAAGGCGGUAUGUACCUUGUUACAUGAGGAUUCACAGCAACUCCUCGCAAGAUUUCAGGGAAACCCUGCUUAUAUGUGAGCAUAGAACAAAGGGUUUUGAUAUCUCGAUGCUUGGGAGUAAGGCCAGCCCUAACUACGUUGUCUGAGGUUGCCAUGCACUCGAUGCAAUCCCCAGAUAUAUAGGC
RNA transcript from Rosa chinensis, 2772 nucleotides. RefSeq lists it as uncharacterized. NCBI's taxonomy places the organism in Eukaryota, Viridiplantae, Streptophyta, Magnoliopsida, Rosales, Rosaceae. The record is from RefSeq and is a predicted model, not a curated record. The transcript is spliced from 10 exons.